This 253-nucleotide ribosomal RNA is filed under the name uncultured bacterium. RNAcentral's name for it is "partial 16S ribosomal RNA". It matches the Rfam family "Archaeal small subunit ribosomal RNA", at positions 474 to 727 of the family's 1478-position model. The record is from RNAcentral.
UACCAUCACCCCGAGUGGUCGGGACGAUUAUUGGGCCUAAAGCAUCCGUAGCCGGUUUUACAAGUCCUCCGUUAAAUCCAGCUGCUUAACAGAUGGGCUGCGGAGGAUACUAUAAGACUAGGAGGCAGGAGAGGCAAGCGGUACUCAGUGGGUAGGGGUAAAAUCCGUUGAUCCAUUGAAGACCACCAGUGGCGAAGGCGGCUUGCCAGAAUGCGCUCGACGGUGAGGGAUGAAAGCUGGGGGAGCAAACCGG